AGCAGCCGCGGUAAUUCCAGCUCCAAUAGCGUAUAUUAAAGUUGUUGCAGUUAAAAAGCUCGUAGUUGAAUUUCGAGACCGGUUUAUUGGUCGUGCUUUUGUACGUACUGGUAUUAUUGGUUUCUCCUUUCUGACGAAUCUUAAUGCCAUUAAUUUGGUGUUUUGGGGAAUCAGGACUGUUACUUUGAAAAAAUUAGAGUGUUUAAAGCAGGCUCACGCUUGAAUACAUUAGCAUGGAAUAACGAAAUAGGACGUUUGAUUUUAUUUUGUUGGUUUCUAGGAUCGACGUAAUGAUUAAUAGGGAUAGUUGGGGGCAUUAGUAUUCAAUUGUCAGAGGUGAAAUUCUUGGAUUUAUUGAAGACUAACUACUGCGAAAGCAUUUGUCAAGGAUGUUUUCAUUAAUCAAGAACGAAAGUUAGGGGAUCGAAGACGAUCAGAUACCGUCGUAGUCUUAACCAUAAACUAUGCCGACUAGGGAUCGGAUGAUGUUAAUUUUUUAAUGACUCA
This 507-nucleotide ribosomal RNA is filed under the name uncultured Glomus. RNAcentral's name for it is "SSU rRNA". It matches the Rfam family "Eukaryotic small subunit ribosomal RNA", at positions 569 to 1078 of the family's 1831-position model. Lineage: Eukaryota; Fungi; Glomeromycota; Glomeromycetes; Glomerales; Glomeraceae. The record is from RNAcentral.